Molecule: long non-coding RNA, 961 nt
Organism: Austrofundulus limnaeus
Lineage: Eukaryota; Metazoa; Chordata; Actinopteri; Cyprinodontiformes; Rivulidae
Exons: 3
Source: RefSeq, a predicted model, not a curated record
GAACUCUGAACCGAGCAAACAGCCAGAGGGAGCGACGCUCUGCAGAGGCAGACUGGACCAGAACCGGAUCAGAACCGAGCUGAGACCAGGACGUUUCCAGCCUGAAGCUGCUGUUACAGUCUGAGGAGGUUUCAGCAGCAGGAUGAAGAUGAUGCAGGUCACCCUCCAUCCAGGCUCUGGCUCCAGACCUGAACCCUGGAGACCCCCAGCACCUGAGCAGGUCCAGACGGACUCCUUCCUGACCGCGGCCCGGCUCCUCCGUGAAGGAUGGACGAACGACGGGACGAGCAGGAAGCAGACGCCGUCGUCGCUUCGACCGCAUCCCACCGCUUCUGUGGGACCCCAGGUCCAGGACUCCAGAACCAAACGGGUCCACAUCGUCUUCAGGACCCAGGACAAAGACAUGAACAUUGAUAGAAACGGACCUGAAGGCACCGCUGCAGGGACAGGGGUGSUGAGGUUUACAGCGUCUGGCUGCCGCAGCAAAUGUAAACAAGCUGGGAGGUCAAAGGUCACCGUGCUGCCYGUCAUAUCUGAGCUGUAGGCUCCAGAACCAAGUCCAGGUUUACCGUCCUUCACUAGAACGUCCAGUUCUGAAAGCUCAGGCAGACAUGUUUGAUUUAACAGAGUGGAAUAAAAACAGCUGAAGUUUAGCUGCUGACUUGCUCUGCUGUUAAAUUAUCAAAAUGUGUUUUUCACUGUUUUUAGAUAAAGUUGGAUCAAUAAAUUUGUCCUCUUUAAUCAACUGAUUAGAUUAAAAUGAUCUAAACGGUUCAAACAUUUAGUUUAUCUUUUGAUAAAACUUUGAAGUCAUUUUGUCAAAUUAAUUUGCUCAAAAACGUAAACAUUAAAUACAAAAACAGAUUUUUGUAACAAAUGUGAAUGUUUAUUACUAAUAAAUGCCAGAGACACCGGCCAAGAAGACUACAAUGAAGAAAUCAAAUCUGUUUAAAAAAAAAAA